UAGUCGUACGAGUUCAUACUCGUGGCGAAUAGCUCAGUAACACGUGGCCAAACUACCCUUCGGAGCACGAUACCCUCGGGAAACUGAGGCUAAUAGUGCAUACCACAAUCCAGCUGGAAUGAGGAUUGUGCCAAACGCUCCGGCGCCGAAGGAUGUGGCUGCGGCCGAUUAGGUAGACGGUGGGGUAACGGCCCACCGUGCCAAUAAUCGGUACGGGUCAUGAGAGUGAGAACCCGGAGACGGAAUCUGAGACAAGAUUCCGGGCCCUACGGGGCGCAGCAGGCGCGAAACCUUUACACUGCACGCCAGUGCGAUAAGGGAAUCCCAAGUGCGCAGGCAUAGAGCCUGCGCUUUUGUACACCGUAGGGAGGUGUACGAAUAAGGGCUGGGCAAGACCGGUGCCAGCCGCCGCGGUAAUACCGGCAGCCCGAGUGAUGGCCGAUCUUAUUGGGCCUAAAGCGUCCGUAGCUGGCCGCGCAAGUCUAUCGGAAAAUCCACCCGCUCAACGGGUGGGCGUCCGGUAGAAACUGCGUGGCUUGGGACCGGAAGGC
Molecule: ribosomal RNA, 551 nt
Filed under: uncultured Halorubrum sp.
Lineage: Archaea; Methanobacteriati; Methanobacteriota; Halobacteria; Halobacteriales; Haloferacaceae
Description: bacterial SSU rRNA
Rfam family: Archaeal small subunit ribosomal RNA
Source: RNAcentral